ACACACAUUGCCAAUCCGUGCAUUCAGAAUCUAUGAAAAUACAUAUAUGUGUGGGAGUGUUUUCCAUAUUAUCAGUGUCUGGGUGGCACACGGGCGGUGGUCAGGCGGCCGUCACCUUGCCGAGGCGCGUGACACUAAUGAGCCCGCGUCAGGCUACGUCAUGGAGCGAGCCACCAUUAUCAUAUAGAUUCGCCGGCUCUAUUACUUUGCACACCAAAUUUGCAUACAGCGAGCGACGCGAAUGUAGCAUAAGAAAAUUUGCAUCUAGUGUGUAUUUGCCUCGUUUGUGACCUGUGACCACAUAAAUAUGUAUGUUUGAAAAUACAAUAUCGUAUGGAUAAUGUAGAAACUCCUUUGAUGUCAAUUGAAAAGGUUUGACAUCAAACGCAUUGGUUACGUUGCUGUAUAAAUUAUAGGUAAACAGUGGUUAUGUUUUCCUUGAGAAAAAAAAAAUUGCGAGAGGAAAAUGAACAACCAUGAAUACUGAAUGAGUUUUAACCAUAAGCAAAGACUGACGCAAUGUUGUUUUAUGCUGAAUAAUUUUUCUCAUCUAGAAUCUGUCAGCCUUGUAGACUACAUCACAACACUAGUAAACCUGAGGUUGUAACAAGAGUACAGAACGUCAUCCUCAGAACUACGUAUGAGCAGUACAUUUCGGUAACAAACGUCGUUUGAGCUCUCAUUCGGAGAUUCCGAAUUAUUAUAAUCGUUUAUAUAUAACGAAAAUGAUCUGCUAAUUCAGGGGUACAGAACAUUAAUUCAGGUCUGUAUAUUAGAUUAUACGUGAAACAUAUGAGCCGAAGAUGAGGGAUGACGAAGCUGAUCGAAGUUUCUAGAUCCACACAGCACCCGUAAAUCGAGGUUACCGGCAGUGGUGUCAGUGUGCGCGGCGCGGCAUAAUUGUAGAUUUACUGUUUUAUUCCCUUUGCUAUCCUAUAUUUGUACUUGGACGCUGCCAGAACAAGCUCUAGUCAUCCCUGCUGCCUUGAAACUUGGUGCUACUAUUACGAUGGACUGUUGGAGGAAUUAAGCGUCAGGAAUUACCGCAGUUUGACGAGCGUGCUAAUACGAGAGCCGACAGGUGCUAGGAUGGGAUUUGCGUGGUGAUGAGCGUCUGUCAGGCUGAGGUGCCGCCGUGACCAGAAAAAAAAAAGUAAGAGGAAAGGUCCAGGUGACGGCUGCUGGUGGACGCGCACCCUUCACCAGACACUCCAGACGCAGCAUGUGUCCCUCCUGCACCUCCACCACGCCCCCGUCACCCACGCCCACGAUGCUGAUGCUGCUGUGGACGUGGUGCUGGGUGCUGUGGCAAGACUGGCGAGGCUGCGGCCAAGCUGUGUCUAGUCUGCGUCGCUUCCCACGCUGCACAUUAACGAUAUUGGCAUUCUGGUCGCUUGCUUUGCUCGGUCGUUCAAGAUCUGCAUUUCUCUGAUCCUGGACGCAGCCUGUGCCGAUCCCUGCCGCCUGUAUGGGGCCGCUGCCUGGCGUGAAGCUGAUCCCUUGAAGCCAGACCAGGGCGGUUUGUGGGUAUAUGUCACGGGAAGGCCAGACGUGUAUGGGUGUUUCUUCAAGCCUAGGCCUGUAUUCUAAAACUAUCUACUCUCACCACGACUAUUUUCUAAGGCCACAGAGAUGAUUAGCCGGGUUCUGAAGAGAGUUUCUCCAGUUAAUAAUGUAGAAAUUUUGUUAAUCUGCCACUACAAUCAUAAAACACCAUUUAUAUUACAACUUUGCAUACUAAAGCUAAGUCAACAUUAAUUGUAAUAAGAGGUACUGAAAGGUUUUCUUCAUUUUCAGAUCUCUUGACUUUUUUUGUCACCUCUAUUACUUCCCCAAAAAUUGCUAAACUACUCCCAAGGGAUAAUUUACCCACAGUUUGGGAACCACUGUCUUUGAAGAUUCCAUAAAAAUACUGAAUCUGUGUUACUGUGACCAGAGGCUUUUGAAAAUAGUGAAGGUGCAGCCAGAAGUUUUUCAGAAUAUGGAAGCGAGUGUCACCCGCGGCAGACUCCCUUGAGUUUAAUGCAGCGUGGCAGGUCGUGCUGAGUGUAAUGCAGGGCGCCACGUCGUGCUGAGUGGUGCCAUUGCCGCGGGUUGGUACUGGUGGCGCGGCACAUCCCCUGCUGGCCUUUGGGAUUUCACUACUCGCUUACUUGCUCUUGGAGAAUGUUUGUUUUUUUCCUAAUUAAUCGAGAUUUUCCUUACUUGUACUGUUACGUUAACUAUACAAUGUGUGUUUACAUGGGCGAUGUAUUUGAUAAGUAUUUUGUUCAUAGAACUCCCAAAUAAAAAUGUUUUCAUGUACAUAACAUUCAGGAACACAAGUAACAAAUGAAGACAAAUGAAAGAAAGAUGUUUAGCGUAAAAUGUUGAGAUACUCAGAGCCUCGAAACACACACACACACACACACACACACACACACACACACACACACACACACACACACACACACACACACACACACACACACACACACACUUAAAAGAGAAUGCAUUACGAAUUUGACUUUCCUUUAAAAAAUGAUAAAAAAGAUAAAUCACCAAAAAAGAGAAAUAAAGAUAAAAAGAAAGCAAAAAGAUGAUAAUUGGUAAAUACACACGCUCACACCAAAGUUCAUUUUAGUUAAUAGUAAUGCUGCAAUAUUAGUCCUUGAAUUGCAGCCAUUAGAGUAAUUAUUGCUCAAA
Molecule: long non-coding RNA, 2685 nt
Organism: Portunus trituberculatus (swimming crab)
Lineage: Eukaryota; Metazoa; Arthropoda; Malacostraca; Decapoda; Portunidae
Exons: 4
Source: RefSeq, a predicted model, not a curated record